RNAcentral lists this ribosomal RNA (165 nucleotides) under uncultured bacterium. RNAcentral's name for it is "partial 16S rRNA". It matches the Rfam family "Bacterial small subunit ribosomal RNA", at positions 355 to 511 of the family's 1533-position model. The record is from RNAcentral.
UAGGGAAUCUUCCACAAUGGGCGCAAGCCUGAUGGAGCAACACCGCGUGAGUGAAGAAGGGUUUCGGCUCGUUAAAGCUCUGUUGUUAAAGAAGAACACGUAUGAGAGUAACUGUUCAUACGUUGACGGUAUUUAACCAGAAAGUCACGGCUAACUACGUGCCAG